Mya arenaria is the source of this 576-nucleotide long non-coding RNA. RefSeq lists it as uncharacterized. The transcript is spliced from 5 exons. Lineage: Eukaryota; Metazoa; Mollusca; Bivalvia; Myida; Myidae. The record is from RefSeq and is a predicted model, not a curated record.
GAUUUUCAAGAAAGGAAUAUCAUCUCCAAAUCAUGAUGUGCCAAUAAGCUCCAGUUAGCUGUGGCCUUUUCCCCAGGCGGUAGUCCUGCAAUCUGAAUCCAGGAGAUGCAGCUCUGAAUCCAAUAUUUCAGAAGAAUGAAGAUGAAGCAGACCCAGGAGGAACUGUUGAAGAACCAGCCAGACAGCCCCCCCCCCAAGCUGCCCAACAGGCUGAGCUGUACUUGGUGUUUGCCAACAUGCUGUAAUUUCCAGCCUGGUUGCUGUAGCCACAGAGGAAUUUUCAAGGACAAGAACCAGUGCUGGUAAAACUGUGGUCUCGUGUGAUUGUCCAUACCGGCUCUCGGCAAGGAUUUUCAAGAAAGGAAUAUCAUCUCCAAAUCAUGAUGUGCCAAUAAGCUCCAGUUAGCUGUGGCCUUUUCCCCAGGCGGUAGUCCUGCAAUCUGAAUCCAGGAGAUGCAGCUCUGAAUCCAAUAUUUCAGAAGAAUGAAGAUGUUAGUCAACUCUGUAGUACUUGUUUGUGUGUAAAUGAUUCCAAUGAGUGAGAUUUAUAGCAAAUCAGGUGUAAAUAAGCAUCUU